UUCUGACCUCGAAUCAGGUGGGACUACCCGCUGAACUUAAGCAUAUCAAUAAGCGGAGGAAAAGAAACUAACAAGGAUUCCCUUAGUAACUGCGAGUGAAGUGGGAUGAGCUCAAAUUUAAAAUCUGGUAGUCUCUGGCUGCCCGAGUUGUAAUCUAGAGAAGUGUUUUCUGUGCUGGACUGUGUUUAAGUUUCCUGGAUAUGGAACAUCAUAGAGGGUGAGAAUCCCGUCUUUGACACAGACUGCCAGUACUCUGUGAUGCACUCUCAACGAGUCGAGUUGUUUGGGAUUGCAGCUCAAAAUGGGAGGUAAAUUCCUUCUAAAGCUAAAUAUUGGCGAGAGACCGAUAGCGAACAAGUACCGUGAGGGAAAGAUGAAAAGCACUUU
RNAcentral lists this ribosomal RNA (387 nucleotides) under Hydnum repando-orientale. Its description in RNAcentral is "partial 28S ribosomal RNA". It matches the Rfam family "Eukaryotic large subunit ribosomal RNA", at positions 1 to 377 of the family's 3401-position model. The record is from RNAcentral. Lineage: Eukaryota; Fungi; Basidiomycota; Agaricomycetes; Cantharellales; Hydnaceae.